AUCACUUCUCUGGCCUUUUGGCUAAGAUCAAGUGUAGUAUCUGUUCUUAUCAGAAAGAACACAAAAGGAUGUCCACAGGAGUUCACCAGCACCAAAU
RNAcentral lists this small nuclear RNA (97 nucleotides) under Fukomys damarensis (Damara mole-rat). RNAcentral's name for it is "U2 spliceosomal RNA". It matches the Rfam family "U2 spliceosomal RNA". From Rfam's summary of the family: U2 is a small nuclear RNA (snRNA) component of the spliceosome (involved in pre-mRNA splicing). Complementary binding between U2 snRNA (in an area lying towards the 5' end but 3' to hairpin I) and the branchpoint sequence (BPS) of the intron results the bulging out of an unpaired adenosine, on the BPS, which initiates a nucleophilic attack at the intronic 5' splice site, thus starting the first of two transesterification reactions that mediate splicing. The record is from Rfam by way of RNAcentral. Lineage: Eukaryota; Metazoa; Chordata; Mammalia; Rodentia; Bathyergidae.